This 440-nucleotide ribosomal RNA is filed under the name uncultured bacterium. Its description in RNAcentral is "partial 16S ribosomal RNA". It matches the Rfam family "Bacterial small subunit ribosomal RNA", at positions 338 to 795 of the family's 1533-position model. The record is from RNAcentral.
CCUACGGGUGGCAGCAGUGGGGGAUAUUGCACAAUGGGGGAAACCCUGAUGCAGCGACGCCGCGUGUGGGAAGACGGUCCUCUGGAUUGUAAACCACUGUCCCCAGGGACGAAGAUGACGGUACCUGGGGAGGAAGCUCCGGCUAACUACGUGCCAGCAGCCGCGGUAAUACGUAGGGAGCGAGCGUUGUCCGGAAUUACUGGGUGUAAAGGGUGCGUAGGCGGAUUUUUAAGUCAGCGGUAAAAUGUCCGGGCUCAACCCGGGCCGGCCGUUGAAACUGGGGAUCUUGAGUGGGCGAGAAGUAUGCGGAAUGCGUGGUGUAGCGGUGAAAUGCAUAGAUAUCACGCAGAACUCCGAUUGCGAAGGCAGCAUACCGGCGCCCGACUGACGCUGAGGCACGAAAGCGUGGGGAUCGAACAGGAUUAGAUACCCUUGUAGUC